GAAGAAUGCAUAUGCUGUGUCAAGAUUGAGAAGAAAACAGGCUAUACCAAAAGGGAAUUCUAUGAUCAAGCAUUCAAGAUAUACAAGGAGAAUUUUGUAGUGUUCAUAUUAUUACAAGAUAAUAUCAUUUUUAAUGGUGUUAUCAGGUAUACUGUUACCAGUGAAGACUAUAAAAAUGAACUGAAGAAAGACAAUCCAUGUGGAGUUUCUGUUCACUGGGAAUUGGUGGAGCCUGCUGUGUGCAUAAGAACUUUGAGGGCUCGCAUGAAAUUUGAAGCCUAUAAUACAAAAGGUGAGGUCGUGUCUGGAGAUAAGUCAAAAGAGCUGAUUAUUGUCUGGACUCUAGUGAUUGAGCAUCAGGGAUUCUUGGUUCUGUAA
RNAcentral lists this long non-coding RNA (378 nucleotides) under Oryza sativa Indica Group (long-grained rice). RNAcentral's name for it is "lncRNA OsLiXu_Ung0039780". Lineage: Eukaryota; Viridiplantae; Streptophyta; Magnoliopsida; Poales; Poaceae. The record is from RNAcentral.